This 497-nucleotide ribosomal RNA is filed under the name uncultured bacterium. RNAcentral's name for it is "partial 16S ribosomal RNA". It matches the Rfam family "Bacterial small subunit ribosomal RNA", at positions 28 to 507 of the family's 1533-position model. The record is from RNAcentral.
GAUGAACGCUGGCGGCGUGCCUAAUACAUGCAAGUCGAGCGAACAGACGAGGAGCUUGCUCCUCUGACGUUAGCGGCGGACGGGUGAGUAACACGUGGAUAACCUACCUAUAAGACUGGGAUAACUUCGGGAAACCGGAGCUAAUACCGGAUAAUAUAUUGAACCGCAUGGUUCAAUAGUGAAAGACGGCUUUGCUGUCACUUAUAGAUGGAUCCGCGCCGCAUUAGCUAGUUGGUAAGGUAACGGCUUACCAAGGCAACGAUGCGUAGCCGACCUGAGAGGGUGGUCGGCCACACUAGAACUGAGACACGGUCCAGACGCCUACGGGAGGCAACAGUAGGGAAUCUUCCGCAAUGGGCGAAAGCUUGACGGAGCAACGCCGCGUGAGGGAUGAAGGUCUUCGGAUCGUAAAACUCUGGUAUUAGGGAAGAACAAAUGUGUAAGUAACUAUGCACGUCUUGACGGUACCUAAGCAGAAAGCCACGGCUAACUACGUG